Molecule: ribosomal RNA, 224 nt
Filed under: Escherichia coli
Lineage: Bacteria; Pseudomonadati; Pseudomonadota; Gammaproteobacteria; Enterobacterales; Enterobacteriaceae
Description: partial 23S ribosomal RNA
Rfam family: Bacterial large subunit ribosomal RNA
Source: RNAcentral
CAUGCCAAUGGCACUGCCCGGUAGCUAAAUGCGGAAGAGAUAAGUGCUGAAAGCAUCUAAGCACGAAACUUGCCCCGAGAUGAGUUCUCCCUGACUCCUUGAGAGUCCUGAAGGAACGUUGAAGACGACGACGUUGAUAGGCCGGGUGUGUAAGCGCAGCGAUGCGUUGAGCUAACCGGUACUAAUGAACCGUGAGGCUUAACCUUACAACGCCGAAGGUGUUU